UCCCAGGUAUCUCAAUGGUAAAGAAUCUGCCUGCAAUGCAGGAAACGCAAGAGAUGGAGGUUCCAUCCCUGAUUUGGGAA
This 80-nucleotide transfer RNA is filed under the name Bos indicus (zebu cattle). It matches the Rfam family "tRNA". Rfam says of the family: Transfer RNA (tRNA) molecules are approximately 80 nucleotides in length. Their secondary structure includes four short double-helical elements and three loops (D, anti-codon, and T loops). Further hydrogen bonds mediate the characteristic L-shaped molecular structure. tRNAs have two regions of fundamental functional importance: the anti-codon, which is responsible for specific mRNA codon recognition, and the 3' end, to which the tRNAs corresponding amino acid is attached (by aminoacyl-tRNA synthetases). tRNAs cope with the degeneracy of the genetic code in two manners: having more than one tRNA (with a specific anti-codon) for a particular amino acid; and 'wobble' base-pairing, i.e. permitting non-standard base-pairing at the 3rd anti-codon position. RNAcentral also lists the same sequence under 3 other names. Lineage: Eukaryota; Metazoa; Chordata; Mammalia; Artiodactyla; Bovidae. The record is from Rfam by way of RNAcentral.